This 93-nucleotide non-coding RNA is filed under the name bovine gut metagenome. RNAcentral's name for it is "SAM riboswitch (S box leader)". It matches the Rfam family "SAM riboswitch aptamer (S box leader)". From Rfam's summary of the family: The SAM riboswitch is found upstream of a number of genes which code for proteins involved in methionine or cysteine biosynthesis in Gram-positive bacteria. The SAM riboswitch acts at the level of transcription termination control. The predicted structure consists of a complex stem-loop region followed by a single stem loop terminator region. The record is from RNAcentral.
CUUAUCAAGAGCGGUGGAGGGAACGGCCCUGUGAAGCCCGGCAACCUGCAGAACCUGCAAGGUGCCAAAUCCGGCGGUGAGACGAAAGAUGAG